Molecule: ribosomal RNA, 450 nt
Filed under: uncultured bacterium
Lineage: Bacteria
Description: bacterial SSU rRNA
Rfam family: Bacterial small subunit ribosomal RNA
Source: RNAcentral
AUUGAACGCUGGCGGCAUGCCUAACACAUGCAAGUCGAACGGCAGCACAGCAGUAGCAAUACUGUGGGUGGCGAGUGGCGGACGGGUGAGGAAUACGUCGGAAUCUGCCCAGUCGUGGGGGAUAACUAGCCGAAAGGUUAGCUAAUACCGCAUACGACCGAGAGGUGAAAGCGGGGGACCGGCAAGGCCUCGCGCGAUUGGAUGAGCCGACGUCGGAUUAGCUAGUUGGCGGGGUAAAGGCCCACCAAGGCGACGAUCCGUAGCUGGUCUGAGAGGAUGAUCAGCCACACUGGAACUGAGACACGGUCCAGACUCCUACGGGAGGCAGCAGUGGGGGAAUAUUGGACAAUGGGCGCAAGCCUGAUCCAGCAAUACCGCGUGUGUGAAGAAGGCCUCGGUGUAAGCACUUUAUCAGGAACGAAAGACGUGGUAUUAAUAUACUGACGUGCU